RNAcentral lists this ribosomal RNA (254 nucleotides) under uncultured bacterium. RNAcentral describes it as "partial 16S ribosomal RNA". It matches the Rfam family "Bacterial small subunit ribosomal RNA", at positions 524 to 776 of the family's 1533-position model. The record is from RNAcentral.
UACAGGGGGGCAAGGCGUUGUUCGGAAUUACUGGGCGUAAAGGGUCUGGUAGGUGGCCAACUAAGUCAGACGUGAAAUCCCUCAGCUUAACUGGGGAACUGCGUCUGAUACUGGAUGGCUUGAGUGUGGGAGAGGAAUGCGGAAUUCCAGGUGUAGCGGUGAAAUGCGUAGAUAUCUGGAGGAACACCGGUGGCGAAGGCGGCAUUCUGGACCAUAACUGACACUGAGAGACGAAAGCCAGGGGAGCAAACGGG